UGGGCUAGAAUGCGAGUGCUAUCUGCAGAGAUGCAGAGUUCUUCGGACACGAAGCAAGGUGCUGCAUGGUUGUCGUCAGCUCGUGCCGUGAGGUGUUGGGUUAAGUCCCGCAACGAGCGCAACCCCUAUUCUUAGUUGCCAGCAUGUAAUGAUGGGGACUCUAAGGAGACUGCCUGCGCAAGCAGAGAGGAAGGAGGGGAUGACGUCAAAUCAUCAUGGCCCUUACGCCCAGGGCUACACACGUGCUACAAUGGCGCAUACAGAGGGUCGCGACACGGCAACGUGAAGCCAAUCUCAAAAAGUGCGUCUCAGUUCGGAUUGAGGUCUGCAACUCGACCUCAUGAAGCUGGAAUCGCUAGUAAUCGCGCAUCAGCAAUGGCGCGGUGAAUACGUUCCCGGACC
This 402-nucleotide ribosomal RNA is filed under the name uncultured bacterium. Its description in RNAcentral is "bacterial SSU rRNA". It matches the Rfam family "Bacterial small subunit ribosomal RNA", at positions 976 to 1380 of the family's 1533-position model. The record is from RNAcentral.